Long non-coding RNA from Medicago truncatula (barrel medic), 407 nucleotides. RefSeq lists it as uncharacterized. The transcript is spliced from 2 exons. Lineage: Eukaryota; Viridiplantae; Streptophyta; Magnoliopsida; Fabales; Fabaceae. The record is from RefSeq and is a predicted model, not a curated record.
ACACUACAUGACUUGAUAGAAGACAUGGGUAAAGAAAUUGUACGACCAGAAUCAACGAAAGAGCCUGGAAAGCAUAGUAGGUUGUGGUUCUACUGAAGCAGGAACUACAUGAGUAUGGAGGUGCUGAGUUUAUUUUUACAAGAAGUACAAGGUUUCCGGAGUGGUUUGAGCACCAAAAUAGGGGGCCAUCGAUAUCCUUUUGGUUUCGUAGCAAGCUCCCCACCAUAACACUCUUCGUCGUUUGUAAAUUGAUGUGGGGUAAAUAUGACUCAGACUCAACACAUAACGAAGGCCACAAUAACGAACUCAUUCCAUUGAAUGUACAACUGUUCAUCAAUGGCUAUGAAUACGGAUUUUGCAAUCUCGAGGUAAAGCAGUACCAUAGGCAUGUGUUUGAUUUGCAACUG